CGAAGAACCUAAAAUUCACUUUCAGUGGUAUCAGAGCCAGGUUCAUGUUUAAACUUUUAUGUUUUAAUUUUUGCAAUUAAAUCUGAAAUCAUGAGCAUGCUUAGAUUAGAUCUAAAGUAUUUUUUUAUGAUUGAUUUAACUGCUGAUUAUGCAUGAUUAACUAGAUCUGAAAUUUUGAAUGCAUAUGAUGCAUGUUUGUGUUAAGAU
Molecule: long non-coding RNA, 207 nt
Filed under: Phoenix dactylifera (date palm)
Lineage: Eukaryota; Viridiplantae; Streptophyta; Magnoliopsida; Arecales; Arecaceae
Description: long non-coding RNA (PDAC_LNC018605)
Source: RNAcentral